UUGUACAGGCAAAUCCGUAUAACAAUACUCCGAGAACUGAAAGGCUUUUUGAAGUCUUCGGAUGGAUAGAAGAACCCCUGAUGCCGUCGAGCCAAGAAAAGUUUCUAAGUUUAGCUAAUGUUGCCCGUACCGUAAACCGACACAGGUGGGUGGGAUGAGUAUUCUAAGGCGCGUGGAAGAACUCUCUUUAAGGAACUCUGCAAAAUAGCACCGUAUCUUCGGUAUAAGGUGUGGUUAGCUUUGUAUUAGGAUUUACUCCGAAAGCAAGGAAACUUACAACAAAGAGUCCCUCCCGACUGUUUACCAAAAACACAGCACUCUGCUAACUCGUAAGAGGAUGUAUAGGGUGUGACGCCUGCCCGGUGCUCGAAGGUUAAUUGAUGGGGUUAGCAUUAGCGAAGCUCUUGAUCGAAGCCCGAGUAAACGGCGGCCGUAACUAUAACGGUCCUAAGGUAGCGAAAUUCCUUGUCGGUUAAAUACCGACCUGCAUGAAUGGCGUAACGAGAUGGGAGCUGUCUCAAAGAGGGAUCCAGUGAAAUUGUAGUGGAGGUGAAAAUUCCUCCUACCCGCGGCAAGACGGAAAGACCCCGUGGACCUUUACUACAGCUUGACACUGCUACUUGGAUAAGAAUGUGCAGGAUAGGUGGGAGGCUUUGAGUAUAUGACGCCAGUUGUAUAUGAGCCAUUGUUGAGAUACCACUCUUUCUUAUUUGGGUAGCUAACCAGCUUGAGUUAUCCUCAAGUGGGACAAUGUCUGGUGGGUAGUUUGACUGGGGCGGUCGCCUCCCAAAUAAUAACGGAGGCUUACAAAGGUUGGCUCAGAACGGUUGGAAAUCGUUCGUAGAGUAUAAAGGUAUAAGCCAGCUUAACUGCAAGACAUACAAGUCAAGCAGAGACGAAAGUCGGUCUUAGUGAUCCGGUGGUUCUGUGUGGAAGGGCCAUCGCUCAAAGGAUAAAAGGUACCCCGGGGAUAACAGGCUGAUCUCCCCCAAGAGCUCACAUCGACGGGGAGGUUUGGCACCUCGAUGUCGGCUCAUCGCAUCCUGGGGCUGGAGCAGGUCCCAAGGGUAUGGCUGUUCGCCAUUUAAAGCGGUACGCGAGCUGGGUUCAGAACGUCGUGAGACAGUUCGGUCCCUAUCUGCCGUGGGCGUAAGAAGAUUGAAGAGAUUUGACCCUAGUACGAGAGGACCGGGUUGAACAAACCACUGGUGUAGCUGUUGUUCUGCCAAGAGCAUCGCAGCGUAGCUAAGUUUGGAAAGGAUAAACGCUGAAAGCAUCUAAGCGUGAAGCCAACUCUAAGAUGAAUCUUCUCUAAGCUCUCUAGAAGACUACUAGUUUGAUAGGCUGGGUGUGUAAUGGAUGAAAGUCCUUUAGCUGACCAGUACUAAUAGAGCGUUUGGCUUAUCUUUAAUAAAGCAU
RNAcentral lists this ribosomal RNA (1419 nucleotides) under Campylobacter jejuni. RNAcentral describes it as "partial 23S ribosomal RNA". It matches the Rfam family "Bacterial large subunit ribosomal RNA", at positions 1528 to 2925 of the family's 2925-position model. The record is from RNAcentral. Lineage: Bacteria; Pseudomonadati; Campylobacterota; Epsilonproteobacteria; Campylobacterales; Campylobacteraceae.